GAAUGCUGACAUAAGUAACGAUAAAGCGGGUGAAAAGCCCGCUCGCCGGAAGACCAAGGGUUCCUGUCCAACGUUAAUCGGGGCAGGGUGAGUCGACCCCUAAGGCGAGGCCGAAAGGCGUAGUCGAUGGGAAACAGGUUAAUAUUCCUGUACUUGGUGUUACUGCGAAGGGGGGACGGAGAAGGCUAUGUUGGCCGGGCGACGGUUGUCCCGGUUUAAGCGUGUAGGCUGGUUUUCCAGGCAAAUCCGGAAAAUCAAGGCUGAGGCGUGAUGACGAGGCACUACGGUGCUGAAGCAACAAAUGCCCUGCUUCCAGGAAAAGCCUCUAAGCAUCAGGUAACAUCAAAUCGUACCCCAAACCGACACAGGUGGUCAGGUAGAGAAUACCAAGGCGCUUGAGAGAACUCGGGUGAAGGAACUAGGCAAAAUGGUGCCGUAACUUCGGGAGAAGGCACGCUGAUAUGUAGGUGAAGCGACUUGCUCGUGGAGCUGAAAUCAGUCGAAGAUACCAGCUGGCUGCAACUGUUUAUUAAAAACACAGCACUGUGCAAACACGAAAGUGGACGUAUACGGUGUGACGCCUGCCCGGUGCCGGAAGGUUAAUUGAUGGGGUUAGCGGUAACGCGAAGCUCUUGAUCGAAGCCCCGGUAAACGGCGGCCGUAACUAUAACGGUCCUAAGGUAGCGAAAUUCCUUGUCGGGUAAGUUCCGACCUGCACGAAUGGCGUAAUGAUGGCCAGGCUGUCUCCACCCGAGACUCAGUGAAAUUGAACUCGCUGUGAAGAUGCAGUGUACCCGCGGCAAGACGGAAAGACCCCGUGAACCUUUACUAUAGCUUGACACUGAACAUUGAGCCUUGAUGUGUAGGAUAGGUGGGAGGCUUUGAAGUGUGGACGCCAGUCUGCAUGGAGCCGACCUUGAAAUACCACCCUUUAAUGUUUGAUGUUCUAACGUUGGCCCCUGAUCGGGGUUGCGGACAGUGUCUGGUGGGUAGUUUGACUGGGGCGGUCUCCUCCUAAAGAGUAACGGAGGAGCACGAAGGUUGGCUAAUCCUGGUCGGACAUCAGGAGGUUAGUGCAAUGGCAUAAGCCAGCUUGACUGCGAGCGUGACGGCGCGAGCAGGUGCGAAAGCAGGUCAUAGUGAUCCGGUGGUUCUGAAUGGAAGGGCCAUCGCUCAACGGAUAAAAGGUACUCCGGGGAUAACAGGCUGAUACCGCCCAAGAGUUCAUAUCGACGGCGGUGUUUGGCACCUCGAUGUCGGCUCAUCACAUCCUGGGGCUGAAGUAGGUCCCAAGGGUAUGGCUGUUCGCCAUUUAAAGUGGUACGCGAGCUGGGUUUAGAACGUCGUGAGACAGUUCGGUCCCUAUCUGCCGUGGGCGCUGGAGAACUGAGGGGGGCUGCUCCUAGUACGAGAGGACCGGAGUGGACGCAUCACUGGUGUUCGGGUUGUCAUGCCAAUGGCACUGCCCGGUAGCUAAAUGCGGAAGAGAUAAGUGCUGAAAGCAUCUAAGCACGAAACUUGCCCCGAGAUGAGUUCUCCCUGACUCCU
This 1548-nucleotide ribosomal RNA is filed under the name Escherichia coli. RNAcentral describes it as "partial 23S ribosomal RNA". It matches the Rfam family "Bacterial large subunit ribosomal RNA", at positions 1292 to 2823 of the family's 2925-position model. The record is from RNAcentral. Lineage: Bacteria; Pseudomonadati; Pseudomonadota; Gammaproteobacteria; Enterobacterales; Enterobacteriaceae.